AAUUCAAUCUGUACAGGGUAAUAUUCUCAUUGUCUUUAUUACAAAUGGUGAGUGAUUAGCAUGAGACCUAUGACUUAAUGUAAGCCCCAUGAGAGCAGGGACCUCAUGCCUUACGCUAGCCUGAGAUAUGGAAGCUGCUCAACAUACAUUUAGUUUUCUAAUUUUUAUUUUGAAUUAUAGUUAAUUCCUGAACAGCAUGGGUUUGAACUGUGUGGGUCCACUUAUAUGGAAAUUUUCUUCCACCUCUUCCGCCCCUGAGACACCAAGACCAACCACUCCCUUCGUCUUCCUCCUCAGCCCACUCAGCGUGAAGACCAUGAGGAUAAAGAGCUUUACGAUGAUCCACUUCCACUAAAUGAAUUGGAAAUAUAGUUUUUUUCCUUAUGAUGUUUUUAAUAACAUCUGAGUCUCAUCACCUUCCAUAAAUUUACUGAUUUGCUAAAUUAUGAUAU
Molecule: long non-coding RNA, 452 nt
Organism: Sapajus apella (tufted capuchin)
Lineage: Eukaryota; Metazoa; Chordata; Mammalia; Primates; Cebidae
Exons: 2
Source: RefSeq, a predicted model, not a curated record